GGGCCUAUAGCUCAUCUGGCAGAGCGCCUGCCUUGCAAGCAGGAGGCGGCAGGUUCAAGUCCUGUUAGGUCCAC
This 74-nucleotide transfer RNA is filed under the name Mycobacterium phage Rabinovish. RNAcentral describes it as "tRNA-Ala". It matches the Rfam family "tRNA". Rfam says of the family: Transfer RNA (tRNA) molecules are approximately 80 nucleotides in length. Their secondary structure includes four short double-helical elements and three loops (D, anti-codon, and T loops). RNAcentral also lists the same sequence under 1 other name. The record is from RNAcentral. Lineage: Duplodnaviria; Heunggongvirae; Uroviricota; Caudoviricetes.